AAUCGAGUUUGUUGUUCAACAAAUGCACGAGCUUUAGCCACCGAACAAGGAUCAAUUUGGCGAAGCAUGGUUUGAAGCUGAGGAUGAAGACCGGCAAUGAACCUCGCCACGAGUUUAUCUUUAAAAUCAUGAAUAUCCACCCAAGUAAGCAUCUGAUAGAAUUCAUUCUCGUAGUCUUCAACAGAGUGAGAACCUUACGAAUGCUAUGAAACUUCUGGAACAAAAGACGCUCGAAAUUAUUAUAUAUAAAAAAAUUUUCAGCAUAUGUUUCUUAAGCUUGUCCCAUGAGGAGAUCUUUU
RNAcentral lists this long non-coding RNA (299 nucleotides) under Brassica rapa (field mustard). RNAcentral describes it as "long non-coding RNA (BRAP_LNC004925)". Lineage: Eukaryota; Viridiplantae; Streptophyta; Magnoliopsida; Brassicales; Brassicaceae. The record is from RNAcentral.